UACGUAGGCAGCGAGCGUUGUUCGGAGUUACUGGGCGUAAAGAGUGCGUAGGCGGUGUUCCAAGUCUGUUGUGAAAUCUCCCGGCUCAACUGGGAGGGUGCGGCGGAAACUGGGACGCUGGAGUACGGGAGAGGUAAGCGGAAUUCCUGGUGUAGCGGUGAAAUGCGUAGAUAUCAGGAGGAACACCUGCGGUGUAGACGGCUUACUGGACCGUAACUGACGCUGAGGCACGAAAGCGUGGGGAGCGAACAGG
RNAcentral lists this ribosomal RNA (253 nucleotides) under uncultured bacterium. RNAcentral describes it as "partial 16S ribosomal RNA". It matches the Rfam family "Bacterial small subunit ribosomal RNA", at positions 524 to 776 of the family's 1533-position model. The record is from RNAcentral.